This 468-nucleotide ribosomal RNA is filed under the name uncultured bacterium. RNAcentral's name for it is "partial 16S ribosomal RNA". It matches the Rfam family "Bacterial small subunit ribosomal RNA", at positions 28 to 507 of the family's 1533-position model. The record is from RNAcentral.
GACGAACGCUGGCGGCGUGCUUAACACAUGCAAGUCGAACGGAAAGGCCCUGCUUUUGUGGGGUGCUCGAGUGGCGAACGGGUGAGUAACACGUGAGUAACCUGCCCUUGACUUUGGGAUAACUUCAGGAAACUGGGGCUAAUACCGGAUAGGAGCUCCUGCUGCACGGUGGGGGUUGGAAAGUUUCGGCGGUUGGGGAUGGAAUCGCGGCUUAUCAGCUUGUUGGUGGGGUAGUGGCUUACCAAGGCUCUGACGGGUAGCCGGCCUGCGAGGGUGACCGGCCACAUUGGGACUGAGAUACGGCCCAGACGGCUACGGGGGGCAGCAGUGGGGAAUAUUGCACAAUGGGCGGAAGCCUGAUGCAGCAACGCCGCGUGCGGGAUGACGGCCUUCGGGUUGUAAACCGCUUUCGCCUGUGACGAAGCGUGAGUGACGGUAAUGGGUAAAGAAGCACCGGCUAACUACGUG